RNAcentral lists this ribosomal RNA (426 nucleotides) under uncultured bacterium. Its description in RNAcentral is "bacterial SSU rRNA". It matches the Rfam family "Bacterial small subunit ribosomal RNA", at positions 355 to 774 of the family's 1533-position model. The record is from RNAcentral.
UGGGGAAUAUUGGACAAUGGGGGCAACCCUGAUCCAGCAAUGCCGCGUGGGUGAAGAAGGCCUGCGGGUUGUAAAGCCCUUUCAGUUGGGAAGAAAAACUGAGCGCUAAUAUCGCUCGGUCCUGACGUUACCAACAGAAGAAGCACCGGCUAACUCCGUGCCAGCAGCCGCAGUAAUACGGAGGGUGCGAGCGUUAAUCGGAAUUACUGGGCGUAAAGGGCGCGUAGGCGGUCGCGCAAGUCGGGUGUGAAGCCCCGGGCUCAACCUGGGAAUUGCAUUCGAUACUGCGUAACUAGAGUCUGGUAGAGGGAAGCGGAAUUCCGCAUGUAGCGGUGAAAUGCGUAGAUAUGCGGAGGAACACCAGUGGCGAAGGCGGCUUCCUGGACCAAGACUGACGCUGAGGCGCGAAAGCGUGGGGAGCAAACA